CCCGCUGAACUUAAGCAUAUCAAUAAGCGGAGGAAAAGAAACUAACAGGGAUUCCCCUAGUAACUGCGAGUGAAGCGGGAAAAGCUCAAAUUUAAAAUCUGGUGAUGUUAGGCCAUCCGAGUUGUAAUUUAGAGAAGCGUCUUCCGCGCUGGACCGUGCACAAGUCUCCUGGAACGGAGCGUCGUAGAGGGUGAGAAUCCCGUCUUUGGCACGGACACACCAGGGCUUUUGCGAUGUCCUCUCACAAAGCCAGGUGGUUUGGAAUUGCGGUUUAAAUGGGGGGGUGAAUUCCUUCUAAGGCUAAAUAUUGGCGAGAGACCGAUAGCGCAACAAGUAGCCGUGAGGGAAAGAUGGAAAAGCACUUUGGAAAGAGAGUGAAUCAGUACUUGAAAUUGUUGAAAGGAAGACGCUUUGAAGUCAGUCCGCGGCGUCAGAGACUCAGCCUCGCCUCGGCUUGUCGUACUCUCUUGCCCGACAGCCCAGCAUCGAUCCCACCUCUCGGUAAAUGCUCUGGGAAUGGUGACACCCUUACGGCGUCUUAUAGUCUAUCGUCGCAUGCGACCUGCUGGAAUGAAGGACUCAGCACGCGCUCUCACGCGGCGGUGCUGUCGGCCAGCAUACCGGCUUGGGAUGCUGACGUACUGGCUCUAAACCACUCGUCUCGAAUCGCGCUAUAGUGAGUUCGCUUCCGCUACAUUCACUUCGCCUUAUCGACGAGCCGAUUACUAUUACCUGGGCGUCGCUCUACUACGUCGUCGUUUGAGAAAAUCCUGGUUUUACCAGACUUUAUCGUCUUGCAGAGCCUCGCCCUUUUGCCCCUUGCCAGCAUAACGAAAAGGCCCGCACCCGAUGCCCUUCCCAAUAAGUGUAUUAAACAAUAAAUACGGUAACUUUAAGGUUUUCGCCUUAUAAAAAGAGAAAUUCUUUUACCCGCCCGGUUUGAGGGGGUUGCGGAACCCCCAUGUUUGACGCCCCCGGGGCCGGCCGGAAAGAGAGUCCCCCCCGGGACAUUUACCCCCCCGGGGGGGCAAAAUAAAGGAUUUCCCG
RNAcentral lists this ribosomal RNA (1047 nucleotides) under uncultured fungus. RNAcentral describes it as "eukaryotic LSU rRNA". The stretch from base 1 to 672 matches the Rfam family "Eukaryotic large subunit ribosomal RNA", at positions 24 to 664 of the family's 3401-position model. The record is from RNAcentral. Lineage: Eukaryota; Fungi.